Molecule: transfer RNA, 75 nt
Filed under: Candidatus Parcubacteria bacterium
Lineage: Bacteria; Candidatus Parcubacteria
Description: tRNA-Cys
Rfam family: tRNA
About the family: Transfer RNA (tRNA) molecules are approximately 80 nucleotides in length. Their secondary structure includes four short double-helical elements and three loops (D, anti-codon, and T loops). Further hydrogen bonds mediate the characteristic L-shaped molecular structure. tRNAs have two regions of fundamental functional importance: the anti-codon, which is responsible for specific mRNA codon recognition, and the 3' end, to which the tRNAs corresponding amino acid is attached (by aminoacyl-tRNA synthetases). tRNAs cope with the degeneracy of the genetic code in two manners: having more than one tRNA (with a specific anti-codon) for a particular amino acid; and 'wobble' base-pairing, i.e. permitting non-standard base-pairing at the 3rd anti-codon position.
Source: RNAcentral
GGCCAGGUAGCCAAGUGGCAAGGCAAGGGUCUGCAAAACCCUUAUGCGUGGGUUCAAUUCCCACCCUGGCCUCAA